AGCAGCCGCGGUAAUUCCAGCUCCAAUAGCGUAUAUUAAAGUUGUUGCAGUUAAAAAGCUCGUAGUUGAAUUUCGAGAUCAAAUUGUUGGUCGUGCCUCGGUACGUACUGGCAAUUUUGGUUUCUCCCUUCUGAAGAACCAUGAUGUCAUUAAUUUGGUGUCUUGGGGAAUCAGGACUGUUACUUUGAAAAAAUUAGAGUGUUUAAAGCAGGCUCGCGCUUGAAUACAUUAGCAUGGAAUAACGAAAUAGGACGUUUGAUUCUAUUUUGUUGGUUUCUAGGAUCGACGUAAUGAUUAAUAGGGAUAGUUGGGGGCAUUAGUAUUCAAUUGUCAGAGGUGAAAUUCUUGGAUUUAUUGAAGACUAACUACUGCGAAAGCAAUUUGCCAAGGAUGUUUUCAUUAAUCAAGAACGAAAAGUUAGGGGAAUCGAAGACGAUCAGAUACCGUCGUAGUCUUAACCAUAAACUAUGCCGACUAGGGAUCGGAUGAUGUUAAUUUUUAAUGUACUUCAUUCGGCGCC
RNAcentral lists this ribosomal RNA (520 nucleotides) under uncultured Glomus. RNAcentral's name for it is "SSU rRNA". It matches the Rfam family "Eukaryotic small subunit ribosomal RNA", at positions 569 to 1087 of the family's 1831-position model. The record is from RNAcentral. Lineage: Eukaryota; Fungi; Glomeromycota; Glomeromycetes; Glomerales; Glomeraceae.